GCCGAAGUGGCGGAAUGGCAGACGCGAUGGUCUCAAACACCAUUGAGUGCAAGCUCGUGAGGGUUCGACUCCCUCCUUCGGCACCA
RNAcentral lists this transfer RNA (86 nucleotides) under Chloroflexota bacterium. Its description in RNAcentral is "tRNA-Leu". It matches the Rfam family "tRNA". From Rfam's summary of the family: Transfer RNA (tRNA) molecules are approximately 80 nucleotides in length. Their secondary structure includes four short double-helical elements and three loops (D, anti-codon, and T loops). The record is from RNAcentral. Lineage: Bacteria; Bacillati; Chloroflexota.